AAAAUCCGUCGACUUUAGAAAUCGUGAGGGUUCAAGUCUGGUUCAAGUCCCUCUAUCCCCA
RNAcentral lists this transfer RNA (61 nucleotides) under Xenoscapa fistulosa. RNAcentral's name for it is "partial transfer RNA-Leu". The record is from RNAcentral. Lineage: Eukaryota; Viridiplantae; Streptophyta; Magnoliopsida; Asparagales; Iridaceae.